GGUUUAAUUUGGAAAAACUCAGGGACUCUUUACGAAAAUACACCCCGAAGGGGUAUCUUCUAAUCAGCGCCCUAGAUCUUCAGAUGGACGGCCCAAACGCGUCAGGGGGUGACGGGCGGCGGCCGGCCGGCGCUCUGGCCUCCGGCGCGGUGGCGCCAUGGGCGACCUCGUCGGAGUUCGUCCAAAACGUGAUUCGAUGCACCAUUCUUCGAAAGAAAAACGCCAGGUGGACGGGAAGCUUACGUUGAGCUCACCUGCGCGCCUGAAUCGGCCCGAAAGAGGACAGGGAAGGCCCGCCGCGGUGAGGACUUUCGGCGAGAUCCAAAAUUCCAAAACAAGGACGGCUAGGGCUCGAUUUCGCAAUUUGGAUGCAAAAGGGGGAGCAGCGGGGUUGACCUAGGGCUUUAUAGGAGUUUGUUUCGCGUAAAACGGCAAGAAAAUCGAGGAAUAAACGGACUCGAUCUUCUCCUGGGAGUCCUGCUCGUCCACGACGGGGAGGAAGAAGCAAGAACACGCUGACGUGUGGGCCCCAGAGAUCAGUGAGCCAAGGAAGAGAAGAGAGGAGGGGCGCGCUGCGGGCCUGGAAAGGAGUGGGCCGGGGUGGGGAAACUGGGCCGCGCGGGAAAGGGGAGUGCUGGGCCUUCGGGCCAGAAUGAGUGGGGGAAGAGGAGAAAGGUUUUGUUGUUUUUUUUUCUAUUUUCCUUUCUUUUAUUCCAAAGCCAUUUCAAGUCCCUUUUAAAAAUCAGUUUUGAAAUACUUUUGAACUUUACUCAAAGUUACACAGUACAAAAAUAUAAAUGCUCCAGCAUGAGUGCACAUACAUGUUACUAAACCCUAUGAUAAGUUUUAAUUUACUGAAAAAUAUUAUUCCCCUAUGUUUUAUGAGCACAAAAAUUCAAAAUUAAAUUAUUUUUCAUCUAUUUCUAAAAGAACAAAAAUUUAGGGUGUUACAAAUCUACCCCCCUUAAAAUGAAUCUCGUCCUCGAGAUUCGGAAGAGACACGGAUUCCAAAAGAGAAACAAGAACAAGAUCUGGAUAUCUAUUUCAACUUCACAACUUGUAUUCCAAAAGCAACACUCAUGUCUUGAGAUCACAACUUGUGAACAAAACUUCCAUAAAAUGUCUAUUAUUCAUAGCUGAUUAAAAUCCAUCUUGACUACCAACUUUUUGACUUAUACAACUCAAAGGCAUGAUAACUUAGCAUGGGUAUGCCUCCUCAGGUAGGAGUGGACCACCUUGAUACUCAAUUCUUUUCCCUGAUGGUGCGGUUAAGAAAAUUUUCCACUGGGUAGCAUAGAUCACUGCCUUGUGUGCACAUAACCAUCCAUUGCCAAGAACCAAAGGAAUAUUGAGUGACUCUAGCACAAUGAGGUUUACAGUGAAGUUUUCCUUCUUUAUGACAAGGUUGAUAUUUGAGCAAACCUGAUCUGCCUGUAUUUCUCCCAUUGGGGUUUGAACUAACAAAGGCUUUCUCGUCGGACACUUCACCCGUUCGAUUGUCUUUACCAAGUCAGCGGAUAUGAAAGAAUGUGAAGCACUUCGGUCAAACAGAGCAAAAACUAGUACUGAGUCCACUUGAAUAUAGCCUCCCACCACUUUGGUGGCUCCUUGAAUGUUAUGCAUAUCCACAUUGUUCAGUCUUCCAUUGAUAUAAUUUCGCUGUACUUUAUUUCCAGGAGCGGGCUUCUUACGAGCUUUCCUUUUACGCUUCCGUCGUUGUGGAUUUUGAUUUGAUUCGUUGUCAACUUGCUCUUCCAUAUUAUUAUUUUGAUAACACUCAGCUUUGUCAUGCUCAUAGCAUCUUUCUUCAAAAUCAAGAUGAUCAUAUUCUUCCCACCUAUCCAUGAGAGGUGUCAUAUUGUGCUCCGGAUUCAUGGGACACUACACUCCCUGUCAUCAAGUGACCAACGUCAGUAACACGGCAAGGAUAGAUGAUCAUAACCAUAGAAUAUCUUAGAAGACAAUUAUCACUCCAAGCUAGUCUUAAAAUGCAUCACUCGUGAUAUCAAGGUACUACCCCCCUUAAAAUUAGAUUGAUUGGGGACACUAGGGACUAGUUCUCCUAUCCUUUUUGGACGCCACACAUCAUAGUCUUUUACAUUCGUGGUACCGAGUCUCUUGUUCCAAAAUUAUCCAAUUCUUCUCCAUGUAACCCCUUUAUUUAGGCUACCCCCCUUAAUAAAGGUCAUCUAGGGGACACAAGAAAGGUAGCUAGCAUGUUUUCCAGACAAGUUAACUAACAUUGAGAACUUAUGACAUCCCAAAGAGCUUCUGUGCAAGAGAACAAACAUGUAUCCUGAAAUUUUCCCGCGAUAUGAAAAACACCAGCAUAGAAAAACAGGUAUAACUCCCCUUCUGUUAAUCCAAUAGAGUUGUAGCUUAUACCGUUAGAAAGAUUAUGAAAUUCCCUACAACUUUCCUGUAGAAGACGUCCUUAGGUUCUGUAUUUAGGCUCAGGUAAAACAGCCAAACAUAAUAUCCUUCCUGAUAAUAUCUCAGCAAAGAUGCAGUAAAUUCCAGAAAUUAUACCUCGAGCUACUUAACUCAUAUGGAGAUGAUCCUUACAUUGUUGAAAAGCUUAUGAAAUCCUUUACAACUUUCGUAUACAACUUUUCCCCAGAUUCUGUCUUUAAGCUUGGCUGAGAAUAGGAAUUGCCAGAUCUAUCCAGAUUUUGAAACAGAACAGAAACAUCCAAUUGUAAAUAUCAUAUCUCAGGUUCUACUUAUCCAAAUAAGUUCCAGCUUAUACCGUUGGAAAGAAUAGAAAAUUGUCUACAACUUUUCUAUAGAAUACUCUUCCAAAUUCUAUAGUUAUAUAUGUCUAAAACAGUAAGCAACCGAAACUGGUCCAGGUUCUUGACAGCACAGUUGUAUCCUGUUGUGAUUUUUGUAACUUCCAAACCAUAACAGCUAUGAGGGUGAUUCUUGUGGUCAGAGAAAGAUCUUGGAGUCUAGUUGUUUCCAGAAAAGUUUAGUAAACUUUGCACGACCAGAUCUUGAUAUACACUAUGAUUAUUGCAGACUGCUCCAGAAAUCAGCAAAAGACAGAAACAGGAUAUAACCAAACCCAACUAUUUAUGUCAUUACUCCGUAUGCCUUAGUUCUAUAAACUAAAUGAAAUUGUGAAGAACUUCACAAAAUCUUUACACUCAUUACAAAGAUCCAAAUCAAACAUAAACAUAAUAACAAGCAAUUAAGCAUUAAAGGUUCACAAGGCACACAAACUCAACUUUCGCUACUAGCGUUUUUAUUACACCAGGGGACACGGACACCUAUAUCUUAGACUUAGUGUGGUUAUCUUCACGAUGCAUCUGUUGCUUCUUUUGUGGACAAGAGCUUAUAUAAUGUCCUUCUUGUUGGCAGUGAUAACACCUUCUCUUAGCUGGUUCCUCUGUGAUGUUAUUUUCCACUGAAGUGUUGUUCGGUGUGUUAUCAACUUGCAUACUCUGAUGGUUUAUCUUUGCCUGGUUAGAUUUCUUUCUACAUUGCUUGAUCCUCCGAGGUUGAAACUCUCUAUAAGUAAUUGUCCACCCAUCUAUGCAUACCUCAUGAGCAGUGGGAUUAGCUUGGGGAAUUUGUUCAUCUCCAAGGUUUGAGUUUUCCUGACGAGAAUUUGAAGCUACAUGUGACAUCUUGGGAUUUGGGUGUUGAUCACUUCCCAAUCUCGGCUCUAGUGCUUUUGCCUUCCUCUUCUUAUCCUCAUUAGUCACACAGGUUGGUUUUGUCUUAACUUCCUUCUUAGAUGACAUAUUCCGAAGACAAGGAAGACCAUAAUGCUCACAACAGUGGCAUUGAUCCUGAUAUCCUGAUGUAUUACUCCCAACGCUUCCACGAUUUCUCAUAUUUUUCCAAGCUUCUGCUACUUGUCUCCUCACGGGUCCUGAGAUACGUUGUUGAGAGUUCUUAUUCUGAGUUAUUCCUUCCACUACUUGUGUUUGCAUGGCUAGAAGCUUCUCCAUGUCGAAUGCUUUUACGGUUGGAAAAUCUGGGUGCUUUUGUUCCUUCUUGUCAAAGGUCUCCUCGUUAUGAUCCAUCUAAAGAGACAAAGAGAGAGGAUUUAGAAUAGAGACAAGAUUUUAUAAAAGAACUAGGCAAGAGGUAAGCAUAACUUUUAGCAACCAUCAAGGUCAAGGCGAAAAGCAAGAAGUAAGCAAAGAUAGAAGCAUGCCAAAACGUCCAGUUCUAACUAGGCUUGCGUCCUACAGUCAGCAUUGCUUUGAUACCACUUUGUAAUACCCGAUUUUAAGGAUAAAACCAGAUAUGCACCAUAUGUGAGUCUUAGAAGUCAAAUCUCACAUAUAGAUACAAAUAAGAGGUAAUAUCAAAAGACAAUGCAUAAAUAUAUAACGUACUUAGUAUAAAAGAGAUAACCUUUAAUAACAAACAGCGGAUAGACAACUCCAAACUUCGGGUAUUAACUUCUCUCUACAGGAUCCAACUGACUGGUUGAUCACAAGCCUAACACAUCUCCUGAAGUGUGGGGGAAAUAGCAAGAGUGAGUCCAUGUCGAACUCCACAAGUAUAGCAGCUAGAUUGUAUAGCUCUCACAAUCUCAUGAUCAAUGUGACAUAAAUAAUGUAAAGCAUUAAAUAAUAAAUAAUGGGCAUAUUUAACACACGAGAAUCAUCAUCGUCGCAGCAAGAAUCCCCAAGGCCGCUCCUGACCGUGAGCUCGGCUAGUAUACUAGUUUUUAACCCUCUGCAGAGGUUGCACAUCUUUACCCAUGAGUCAUGAUUUACCCUUUCGCCCGAGGUAGCUAGUCUCUUAACCCCCUUCCUAGGGAGGUCGGCAGGGAUCACUAUGAAGUCUUUCAAAGGUUCGUCUAACAAGUUAGGGCCGCUUGGUUUCAUUAGUCAGUCCAUAUGAUUCACCCGCAGGAAUCCACGGUCUGCUAUUCCCCAAUUGCGCCACAACGGGUAACCGCUAACGAGCUAGAAAAGUUACUCAUACUUAACUAAAGCCAGAGCCAUUAUAGCCCUCAUGGUUGCACUGUUGUCCCGGUUAUCACUUACAGAUAAAUCAUCAAGUGGCUAAAAAGUCAUUUUUAUCAUUUAUUACUUAACAUUAAUCUAGUCACAGGAUCAUGGUCACAGAAAUAAAAUCCAAAUGCUAUACUUGCCUUAAUCCAAAUGCUCUUGCUUAUCCUUUUGGUUCUGCUGGUCUCACUUGUUGCCAAAGCUUUGAUCUUGAUCACCCAAAACUGCUCUCCGUCUAAACUCGAUCAUCGAUCACACAAACAAUCGGAGAAAGCAUACACGAGCAAACAAAGCUACAAUUAGAACAGUACACCAAUCAUAUAAAAACUGUAUGAAAAGUUUAUAAAAUGAUUCUACGCAUCGCUACGAUUUCACAGGCGUAAAGAGCACGAAAAACGGAGUUAAAACGGAGAAGUUAUGAUUUUUCUAAGAUUUUCUGUGGAUGAAUAAUGAAUUUAAUAGUACCAGGAAAUUAAAAAGUUUCAAAACAGUAAACUAAUGUUUCUAACAUGUAGAGCAUGUAACUACGGACCUAACGAAAUUUGAAUGGAUUAAAACGGAGUUAAAAUGAAUAUUUUAUGAGCAUUACAAAAUCAAUGGCAAUCUUGUAAAUAGUGAAAACGUAUUUAGAACUGAGCCGGGAGAAAAUACGUUUUCAAAACCCAGAAAACGUAAACCUGAUAUGGCGCUUUGGAUCGCGGGUUUAAUUUGGAAAAACUCAGGGACUCUUUACGAAAAUACACCCCGAAGGGGUAUCUUCUAAUCAGCGCCCUAGAUCUUCAGAUGGACGGCCCAAACGCGUCAGGGGGUGACGGGCGGCGGCCGGCCGGCGCUCUGGCCUCCGGCGCGGUGGCGCCAUGGGCGACCUCGUCGGAGUUCGUCCAAAACGUGAUUCGAUGCACCAUUCUUCGAAAGAAAAACGCCAGGUGGACGGGAAGCUUACGUUGAGCUCACCUGCGCGCCUGAAUCGGCCCGAAAGAGGACAGGGAAGGCCCGCCGCGGUGAGGACUUUCGGCGAGAUCCAAAAUUCCAAAACAAGGACGGCUAGGGCUCGAUUUCGCAAUUUGGAUGCAAAAGGGGGAGCAGCGGGGUUGACCUAGGGCUUUAUAGGAGUUUGUUUCGCGUAAAACGGCAAGAAAAUCGAGGAAUAAACGGACUCGAUCUUCUCCUGGGAGUCCUGCUCGUCCACGACGGGGAGGAAGAAGCAAGAACACGCUGACGUGUGGGCCCCAGAGAUCAGUGAGCCAAGGAAGAGAAGAGAGGAGGGGCGCGCUGCGGGCCUGGAAAGGAGUGGGCCGGGGUGGGGAAACUGGGCCGCGCGGGAAAGGGGAGUGCUGGGCCUUCGGGCCAGAAUGAGUGGGGGAAGAGGAGAAAGGUUUUGUUGUUUUUUUUUUCUAUUUUCCUUUCUUUUAUUCCAAAGCCAUUUCAAGUCCCUUUUAAAAAUCAGUUUUGAAAUACUUUUGAACUUUACUCAAAGUUACACAGUACAAAAAUAUAAAUGCUCCAGCAUGAGUGCACAUACAUGUUACUAAACCCUAUGAUAAGUUUUAAUUUACUGAAAAAUAUUAUUCCCCUAUGUUUUAUGAGCACAAAAAUUCAAAAUUAAAUUAUUUUUCAUCUAUUUCUAAAAGAACAAAAAUUUAGGGUGUUACAAAUGUUUUCAGUUCUUAGUUUUUCAAAUGCAAAAUUUGAAAUUUCCAAACUACUUUUGAAUAUUCACAUGGUUGUAUUGGCCAACUCGUUCUACAUGUUGUAGUUGAUAAGUUUUUUAUUAGAAGUUGUUAAGGUAUCAAAUAAUAGUUGCAUUGCAUGACAUGAUUUAAACUUUGAGAUCAUUUAGUGGCCAAAAUAUUCAAUAUAGGGUUACAAAAUAUUAAUAAAAAAGAUAUUGUCCGGAAGAAUUAGCUCCAUCAAUACCUAGCAGCUAUUCGUGUAAGUUGAAUCAGAUGGGUAACACACAAGACACUGAGAUUAUAUUGGUUUGGCACGUGGUCCCAUACGUCUAGUUUGAAUUAUUUUUGCUCUAUAUUUGUAUGCUCGGUUAUAUAGGAGUUGUGUUUAGCUAUGCGCUAGAAUGUAGAAGAUAGGAUCCCUCUCAGGAGGUCCCUACCCUUCUUUAUAUAGACCAGGGAUAGGGUUACAAUAGACCUGAUUGACUAACAUAUUGAUUUUCUAGUAUAUGUUAUAUGGAAUGCGCAAUAUAAUGAUUCUAUUCUAUAGUGUGG
This 7201-nucleotide long non-coding RNA is filed under the name Sorghum bicolor (sorghum). RNAcentral's name for it is "long non-coding RNA (SBIC_LNC011683)". Lineage: Eukaryota; Viridiplantae; Streptophyta; Magnoliopsida; Poales; Poaceae. The record is from RNAcentral.